This 442-nucleotide ribosomal RNA is filed under the name uncultured bacterium. Its description in RNAcentral is "bacterial SSU rRNA". It matches the Rfam family "Bacterial small subunit ribosomal RNA", at positions 958 to 1398 of the family's 1533-position model. The record is from RNAcentral.
AACGCGAAGAACCUUACCUACCCUUGACAUCCUGCGAAUCUAACUGAGAGGUUGGAGUGCCGAAAGGAGCGCAGAGACAGGUGCUGCAUGGCUGUCGUCAGCUCGUGUUGUGAGAUGUUGGGUUAAGUCCCGUAACGAGCGCAACCCUUGUCCUUAGUUGCCAGCAUUAAGUUGGGUACUCUAAGGAGACUGCCGGUGAGGAACCGGAGGAAGGCGGGGACGAGGUCAAGUCAUCAUGGCCUUUAUGGGUAGGGCUACACACGUGCUACAAUGGGGCGUACAGAGGGUCGCGAACCUGCGAAGGGGAGCCAAUCCCGAGAAAGCGUCUCGUAGUCCGGAUUGGAGUCUGCAACUCGACUCCAUGAAGUUGGAAUCGCUAGUAAUCGCGAAUCAGCAUUGUCGCGGUGAAUACGUUCCCGGGCCUUGUACACACCGAGACGAC